This 249-nucleotide long non-coding RNA is filed under the name Ananas comosus (pineapple). Its description in RNAcentral is "long non-coding RNA (ACOM_LNC007703)". Lineage: Eukaryota; Viridiplantae; Streptophyta; Magnoliopsida; Poales; Bromeliaceae. The record is from RNAcentral.
ACAAAAGGGGAAAUUUCUUUGAUUUGUUACAUGAUAGCAGCAUCUGAGUGAUUGGUAAGUAUCUUCUAUAUGAUAUAGGAGCAAAUUUCUGUUGCAGCUGCUUUAUCGGAAGUGCACUGCUUCAAUAAUGUCGGAUAUAACAAAGUAUGCCUCUAUAACAUUUCCUCUGCAUAUAUUCCCUUACAAACCGAAUUCAUUAAAUUAAUUAUCAUGCUACGUAACUGCCACACAUAUUCUUGCUAUAUCAGC